ACGCUCGACACCUACUGGAGGCAGCAGUGGGGAAUAUUGCACAAUGGGGGAAACCCUGAUGCAGCGACGCCGCGUGGAGGAAGAAGGUCUUCGGAUUGUAAACUCCUGUUGUUGGGGAAAAAGAGGAUGGUACCCAACAAGGAAGUGACGGCUAACUACGNGCCAGCAGCCGCGGUAAUCUGAGCGGGCUGGCAAGGC
This 198-nucleotide ribosomal RNA is filed under the name uncultured bacterium. RNAcentral describes it as "partial 16S ribosomal RNA". It matches the Rfam family "Bacterial small subunit ribosomal RNA", at positions 328 to 539 of the family's 1533-position model. The record is from RNAcentral.